This 780-nucleotide ribosomal RNA is filed under the name Acinetobacter sp. RNAcentral describes it as "bacterial SSU rRNA". It matches the Rfam family "Bacterial small subunit ribosomal RNA", at positions 50 to 824 of the family's 1533-position model. The record is from RNAcentral. Lineage: Bacteria; Pseudomonadati; Pseudomonadota; Gammaproteobacteria; Moraxellales; Moraxellaceae.
UACACAUGCAGUCGAGCGGGGGAGAUUGCUUCGGUAAUUGACCUAGCGGCGGACGGGUGAGUAAUACUUAGGAAUCUGCCUAUUAAUGGGGGACAACAUCUCGAAAGGGAUGCUAAUACCGCAUACGCCCUACGGGGGAAAGCAGGGGAUCACUUGUGACCUUGCGUUAAUAGAUGAGCCUAAGUCGGAUUAGCUAGUUGGUGGGGUAAAGGCCUACCAAGGCGACGAUCUGUAGCGGGUCUGAGAGGAUGAUCCGCCACACUGGGACUGAGACACGGCCCAGACUCCUACGGGAGGCAGCAGUGGGGAAUAUUGGACAAUGGGGGGAACCCUGAUCCAGCCAUGCCGCGUGUGUGAAGAAGGCCUUAUGGUUGUAAAGCACUUUAAGCGAGGAGGAGGCUCCUGUAGUUAAUACCUACAGUGAGUGGACGUUACUCGCAGAAUAAGCACCGGCUAACUCUGUGCCAGCAGCCGCGGUAAUACAGAGGGUGCGAGCGUUAAUCGGAUUUACUGGGCGUAAAGCGUGCGUAGGCGGCUUUUUAAGUCGGAUGUGAAAUCCCCGAGCUUAACUUGGGAAUUGCAUUCGAUACUGGGAAGCUAGAGUAUGGGAGAGGAUGGUAGAAUUCCAGGUGUAGCGGUGAAAUGCGUAGAGAUCUGGAGGAAUACCGAUGGCGAAGCAGCCAUCUGGGCCUAAUACUGACGCUGAGUACGAAAGCAUGGGGAGCAAACAGGAUUAGAUACCCUGGUAGUCCAUGCCGUAAACGAUGUCUACUAGCCGUU